Molecule: ribosomal RNA, 403 nt
Filed under: uncultured bacterium
Lineage: Bacteria
Description: partial 16S ribosomal RNA
Rfam family: Bacterial small subunit ribosomal RNA
Source: RNAcentral
GACGAACGCUGGCGGCGUGCCUAAUACAUGCAAGUCGAACGCAGUGGGGACGGUUGAGUAACACGUGGGUCACCUCCCAUCAGAGGGGAUAAAACUUGGAAACAGGUGCUAAACCGAUACUGAUGGAUGAACCCGCGGUGCAUUAGCUAGUUGGUGGGGGAACGGCUCACCAAGGCAACGAUGCAUAGCCGGCCGGAGAGGGUGAGCGGCCACACUGGGACUGAGACACGGCCCAGACUCCUACGGGAGGCAGCAGUAGGGAAUCUUCGGCAAUGGACGAAAGUCUGACGUAGCAACGCCGCGUGAGUGAAGAAGGUUUUCGGAUCGUAAAACUCUGUUGUUAGAGAAGCGUUAGCUAACCAGAAAGCCACGGCUAACUACGUGCCAGCAGCCGCGGUAAUUC